AUCAUACCACAUUGAUUACGUCCCUGCCUUUUGUACACACCGCCCGUCGCUCCUACCGAUGGGACAAAAAGAUGAACCUGGCGGACCAAACCGUAAGGGGNGGGAAACCAGA
RNAcentral lists this ribosomal RNA (112 nucleotides) under Naegleria fowleri. Its description in RNAcentral is "partial small subunit ribosomal RNA". It matches the Rfam family "Eukaryotic small subunit ribosomal RNA", at positions 1630 to 1759 of the family's 1831-position model. Lineage: Eukaryota; Heterolobosea; Eutetramitea; Acrasida; Naegleriidae. The record is from RNAcentral.